Long non-coding RNA from Populus euphratica (Euphrates poplar), 449 nucleotides. RefSeq lists it as uncharacterized. Lineage: Eukaryota; Viridiplantae; Streptophyta; Magnoliopsida; Malpighiales; Salicaceae. The record is from RefSeq and is a predicted model, not a curated record. The transcript has 3 exons.
CAAAAACAAUGGAAGAUCUGUCGGCAAGCUUCAUUGAUCUUGACCUCCUCAUUUUUUUCUUCAGCUCUCUUCCUGCCUCGUUGCUAAUAUUUUCUUUCUGGUAACAUGAUGAGGAUGACGACGAUGACGAUGACGAUUUGCUGCUCAUACAUGAACUUUCAGAUGAGAAGGAAUAAUCAGAGUCAAAUUCAGCUCCAAGCUUGGAGGAUUUGCAAGGUGCCACCAUGAAAACAAGUUGGUACAAGGGAAGAAAUGAGAUCACUAGAAGUUAUCAUGGAUUCCAAAGCUAUGCUAUGGCUGUGUCUGGUUGUUUUUUACUUAUUGACUUCAUUUUUUAAAAUUUCAACUUUCAAGAAGGAUGUCAUCUUGGAAUGAGAUUUGCAGAGGCGCUUUGACUUGUAUUAGCUAUUGACUUGGCUUUAAUGGAAUUGACGGGUUCUUCCUUUUGA